ACUAAUUUGGCAGAUAAGUGCGGUGGAUUUAGAAUCUAUGUAUGUGUAGGUAACACAUUUAGUA
Molecule: transfer RNA, 64 nt
Filed under: Calcaritermes cf. nigriceps
Lineage: Eukaryota; Metazoa; Arthropoda; Insecta; Blattodea; Kalotermitidae
Description: tRNA-Leu
Source: RNAcentral